AUUGGUUUUACGUUACAAAGCUUUAAGAUUUAUUAUGAUUGUAAAACUCUUCGUUCUCUAAACUCAGGAUGCGGAUGCCGUGGGAAAACCGGCCGACGCGACAUAGAGCGACGCAGCGCUAAGAGUGUAUGGUAAAUAUAGAUAAGAAACUUGUCCUAACAAAACAGUCUAUUUUUAUUGUGUUCAUAAUUGGCGGUUUUAACACAUCAUGCAAUGGAGGGUUUACAUUAUUUGAGUAUAUAUUGUUACAGU
Leptidea sinapis is the source of this 252-nucleotide long non-coding RNA. RefSeq lists it as uncharacterized. Lineage: Eukaryota; Metazoa; Arthropoda; Insecta; Lepidoptera; Pieridae. The transcript has 3 exons. The record is from RefSeq and is a predicted model, not a curated record.